RNAcentral lists this ribosomal RNA (465 nucleotides) under uncultured bacterium. RNAcentral describes it as "partial 16S ribosomal RNA". It matches the Rfam family "Bacterial small subunit ribosomal RNA", at positions 28 to 507 of the family's 1533-position model. The record is from RNAcentral.
GACGAACGCUGGCGGCGUGCUUAACACAUGCAAGUCGUACGGUAAGGCCCUUUCGGGGGUACACGAGUGGCGAACGGGUGAGUAACACGUGAGUAACCUGCCCACAACUUUGGGAUAACGCUAGGAAACUGGUGCUAAUACUGGAUAUGUGCUCCUGCUGCAUGGUGGGGGUUGGAAAGCUCCGGCGGUUGUGGAUGGACUCGCGGCCUAUCAGCUUGUUGGUGGGGUAGUGGCCUACCAAGGCGGCGACGUGUAGCCGGCCUGAGAGGGUGACCGGCCACAUUGGGACUGAGAUACGGCCCAGACUCCUACGGGAGGCAGCAGUGGGGAAUAUUGCACAAUGGGCGCAAGCCUGAUGCAGCAACGCCGCGUGCGGGAUGACGGCCUUCGGGUUGUAAACCGCUUUCAGCAGGGACGAAGCUUUUUGUGACGGUACCUGCAGAAGAAGCACCGGCUAACUACGUG